This 253-nucleotide ribosomal RNA is filed under the name uncultured bacterium. Its description in RNAcentral is "partial 16S ribosomal RNA". It matches the Rfam family "Bacterial small subunit ribosomal RNA", at positions 524 to 776 of the family's 1533-position model. The record is from RNAcentral.
UACAGAGGUCUCAAGCGUUGUUCGGAUUCAUUGGGCGUAAAGGGUGCGUAGGCGGCGCUGUAAGUCGGGUGUGAAAUUUCGGAGCUUAACUCCGAAACUGCAUUCGAUACUGCGGUGCUUGAGGACUGGAGAGGAGACUGGAAUUCAUGGUGUAGCAGUGAAAUGCGUAGAGAUCAUGAGGAAGACCAGUGGCGAAGGCGGGUCCCUGGACAGUUCCUGACACUGAGGCACGAAGGCCAGGGGAGCAAACGGG